CUACGGGGUGCUCCAGUGGGGAAUAUUGCACAAUGGGCGCAAGCCUGAUGCAGCCAUGCCGCGUGUAUGUAGAAGGCCUUCGGGUUGUAAAGUACUUUCAGCGGGGAGGAAGGGAGUAAAGUUAAUACCUUUGCUCAUUGACGUUACCCGCAGAAGAAGCACCGGCUAACUCCGUGCCAGCAGCCGCGGUAAUACGGAGGGUGCAAGCGUUAAUCGGAAUUACUGGGCGUAAAGCGCACGCAGGCGGUUUGUUAAGUCAGAUGUGAAAUCCCCGGGCUCAACCUGGGAACUGCAUCUGAUACUGGCAAGCUUGAGUGUCGUAGAGGGGGGUAGAAUUCCAGGUGUAGCGGUGAAAUGCGUAGAGAUCUGGAGGAAUACCGGUGGCGAAGGCGGCCCCCUGGACGAAGACUGACGCUCAGGUGCGAAAGCGUGGGGAGCAAACAGGAUUAGAUACCCUAGUAGUC
This 464-nucleotide ribosomal RNA is filed under the name uncultured bacterium. Its description in RNAcentral is "partial 16S ribosomal RNA". It matches the Rfam family "Bacterial small subunit ribosomal RNA", at positions 339 to 795 of the family's 1533-position model. The record is from RNAcentral.